Molecule: transfer RNA, 71 nt
Filed under: Marmota monax (woodchuck)
Lineage: Eukaryota; Metazoa; Chordata; Mammalia; Rodentia; Sciuridae
Rfam family: tRNA
About the family: Transfer RNA (tRNA) molecules are approximately 80 nucleotides in length. Their secondary structure includes four short double-helical elements and three loops (D, anti-codon, and T loops).
Source: Rfam by way of RNAcentral
GUGGCUGUGGCUUAGUGGUAAAGCGCUUGUCUCGCACAUGUGAGGCACUGGGUUUGAUACUCAGCACCACA